UGUGAUAAGUAUUGUGAAUUGCAGAAUUCAGUGAAUCAUUGAAUCUUUGAACACACCUUGCACCUUUUGGUAUUCCAAAAGGUACACCUGUUUGAGUGUCAUG
Molecule: ribosomal RNA, 103 nt
Filed under: Cronartium orientale
Lineage: Eukaryota; Fungi; Basidiomycota; Pucciniomycetes; Pucciniales; Coleosporiaceae
Description: partial 5.8S ribosomal RNA
Rfam family: 5.8S ribosomal RNA
About the family: 5.8S ribosomal RNA (5.8S rRNA) is a component of the large subunit of the eukaryotic ribosome. It is transcribed by RNA polymerase I as part of the 45S precursor that also contains 18S and 28S rRNA.
Source: RNAcentral